This 572-nucleotide ribosomal RNA is filed under the name Lichenodiplis lecanorae. RNAcentral describes it as "SSU rRNA". It matches the Rfam family "Eukaryotic small subunit ribosomal RNA", at positions 151 to 726 of the family's 1831-position model. Lineage: Eukaryota; Fungi; Ascomycota; Eurotiomycetes; Verrucariales; Verrucariaceae. The record is from RNAcentral.
GGUAAUUCUAGAGCUAAUACAUGCCUAAUACCUCGACUUCGGAAGGGGUGUAUUUAUUAGAUAAAAAACCAAUGCCCUCCGGGGCUCCUUGGUGAUUCAUAAUAACUCAACGAAUCGCAUGGCCUUGCGCCGGCGAUGGUUCAUUCAAAUUUCUGCCCUAUCAACUUUCGAUGGUAGGAUAGUGGCCUACCAUGGUCUUUACGGGUAUCGGGGAAUCAGGGUUCUAUUCCGGAGAGGGAGCCUGAGAAACGGCUACCACAUCCAAGGAAGGCAGCAGGCGCGCAAAUUACCCAAUCCCGACACGGGGAGGUAGUGACAAUAAAUACUGAUACAGGGGUCUUUUGGCUCGUGUAAUUGGAAUGAGUACAAUCUAAAUCCCUUAACGAGGAACAAUUGGAGGGCAAGUCUGGUGCCAGCAGCCGCGGUAAUUCCAGCUCCAAUAGCGUAUAUUAAAGUUGUUGCCGUUAAAAAGCUCGUAGUUGAACCUUGGGCCUGGCUGAUCUGUCCUCCUAAUCGAGCGCACGGAUUCGGUCGGGCCUUUCCUUCUGGGGAGCCCGAUGUCUUUCACUGGG